Podarcis lilfordi (Lilford's wall lizard) is the source of this 67-nucleotide non-coding RNA. The record is from the annotation of a GenBank genome assembly. NCBI's taxonomy places the organism in Eukaryota, Metazoa, Chordata, Lepidosauria, Squamata, Lacertidae.
ACAGUUUAGUUGGUAGUGCAUGAGACUCUUACUCUCAGGUUUGUGGGUUCGAGCUCCAUGUUGGGUG